AGAAUAUAAUUGGAUAUAUAUAUAUAGAAUUAUACUAUUAUACUAUUGAUAGUACCAAGCGAUUGAUACUAUCGCGUUUUCAAUGUGGUUAGGAUUUAGGGUUUGGAUUUAGGGUUGACUGGGUGGUUAGUUGAAUAGUAUAAUAUGUGGGUGAUCCUUUAGGGUUGAGUGGGUGAUUUUUUUUAGGGUUGAGUGGGUGGUUAGUUGAAUAGUAUAAUAUAUGGGUGGUUCUUUAGGUUUAGGGUUGAAUGGGUGGUUAGUUGAAUAAUAUAAUAUAACGGUCGAUAGUACCUCGGUACGAUCGAUAGUAUAGUAGCCGGACUCUCUCUCUCUAUACGUGUGUGUGUAUAUAUAUAUAUAUAUAAAAGAGAUCCUAGUAAUAAUAAUUGUGAUUAAGCAUUUUGAGUCGACGGUGGUGCGUGCCCAACGAGUUAGUAAUUAUUGAAAAUUUUUGAUUUUGUUACCUAACUUUUUAAUUUAUUUGAUUUGAGUCAGUUACUGAAGCUUUAGCUUCAAAUUUGAAUGCGUCUGUAAGUUUAUCUUUACAGAUUUAAUUAGCAUAUUUUAUGCAAUUCAAGUAACUGUUAAAUUGAUUGGAAUAAGCAGUUGGCUUAAUUUUGUAUUGAAAGAGCCACCAAAUGGCUAUAAAUUAAAUAAUUGGAAAAAUUGAAUACUACAAUUAAAAUUUUGAAAUGUUGUGCGCGGUCGAAUCAAAUGAUCUAUAGUUUAGGUAAGUUAUGUGCAUUUUUACCUUUUUUUUGAUACGCUAAAAUACAGAAAAAUCCUAUAAAUAUCCGCUUUUGCAUUUUUCCUCCUAUCUUUUAAAAAGUCUUUAUUUUAUCCUCUUGAAAUUUAAAUUAUAGCAUUUAACUUCGCACCGUUACUAUUUUGUUAUCGUUUUGUGCAUACGUUGUAUGGAAUAGCCGGGUAACUACUGAUAUAGCCAUUUAUUCUUGAAUCUCUUUUAUAAAGUUAUCUAAUCUAAGAAAAAAAAUAAAAUAAUGAUUUUUAUCUAUUUUCAUCAUUUCUAAGAAUAUAAUAAAUAUUUCAGGAGGUUACUGUUACCACACAAUUUAUGCACCAAAUUGUGACGAAAUAAUAACGAUGCUGUAAUAAGUGCUACAAUUUUAAAUUUAAAGGAGGGAAAAUAGAAUUUUGAAAAGACGGUUGGAUGAAGUACAAAAGUAUAUAUUUGUAAAAAAGUUUUCUGUAUUUUAGCCUAUAUUAUUAUACUUGUUAAUGGUCAUGCCUGAGUUGCCUUUUUGUCGUAUCCCUGUUUUGAGUGACAACGUGGUAUCUGAGUCGGUCCUCUGCUUUGGCGUCGAUCUUAUUUUUCUAAAUGAAAAUUUUUUGUUGUUGAAUGCGUCGGCAGAUGAACUUUUCUACUCUUGUUGCCAAAUAAAUAUCUUACAUGUGCAGUAAACACUCCACCAUCUUCUAUUGUAUAGAAUUAGUGUUUAAGAAAAUAAAAAAAAUCGAUAAUGAUAUACCAAAUUAGGCCUUAAAAUAAUAUUGUCUAGCUUAAACUUUUAGAGACAAAUGACUAUUUCAUAUAAUAUUUGAUUUUGGAUCCACUAGGUUUCGAGGUAAUUAAUUUCCUCCUAUUCGCUAUAAAUCCAUGUCUGAAUCUUAUAAAAAAUUCUCUAGUACGCAAGUACGGGAAGUGUUUAAUGUAAUAUUAAAUCAUUCUUCACUUCGUGGAUGGAACUAGAACUUUCUUUGAAGGGCUAAAUAGUUGUAGUUUAUUAAGUUUACCAUCUGAUCUUUGAAUUAUGUAGUUUUAUAAUAUAAAAACUAGAAUCUAGGGAUAUAGAGGAACAGUUAUUUAUAUAGUUCGAGAUGUAGUAAAAUUUUCAUUUUUGUAGAAAAAGAAAUGUAGCUUGAUUUGCAUAGCGCUUGUAGAAAAAUGCCAAAAUUCAGGAGAUUACAAGAGCGAAAACGUUUACCAAAUUUGUGCUUGAGAAAUUUUCAGAUAUAUGUACAUGAAAUUGGUAAGAAUCCUUUUAUAUUUUGACUCGGAAUCAAUUAAUGAACUUAGUAAUAGUAUUCUCUGUGGAGACUAUAGGACUUUGUUGUUUCAUAGUCCAAACCUGAAAAGAGUAAAGCUUAGGGGGUGUUUGGUUUUAACGUAAAACUGUGAAAAAUAGUUUGGUUUGUCGAGUUUUACGUUUUGUCGAGUUUGGUUUGUGGGGGGAAAAAAAUGGCUUUUUUGUUUGGUUGAAGGGAAAAAAAUUCCCAUUUGUUUGGUUGGGCAACAAAAAAAUGAAUGAAAAAGUUUUACGUAGCUUGACUUUUCGUUUUCCGUUAACAAUCGGCGGAAAACGAAAACACUCCAUUUUCCUCAAAUCUAUAAAAAUAGUUUUCUAAAACAAAAAAUUUACGGCUAAACAAACACACAGAAAACUAUUUUUCAAGUCGGAAAGUAAUCUUCAUUACAUUUUAUGGCCAACCAAACGCACCCUUAAUUUGCAAGCAAAAAAGCUCCUAAAUAGUUGCGCACAACAUGAAGUUUCCGAACAUUUGAUGUUCUUGUUCUUCACUGCGCGGAGGUUGAAUGGUUCUAUAUUCUGCUUUAUCGCAGGGAAACGACGUCGGCACUCAGUAUCGGUCGGGGAUCUACUACUACACUGAGGAGCAAGCCAAGCUCGCUCGCGAGUCGAUGGAAGCGAAGCAGCAGGAGUUCAAAGAGAAGAUCAUGACGGAGAUUCUCCCAGCCAAGGAGUUCUACCGAGCCGAAGAAUACCACCAGCAGUACCUCGAGAAGGGCGGCGGAAGAGGAGACAAGCAAUCUGCAGAGAAAGGAUGCAAUGACCCCAUCAGAUGCUAUGGUUGAUUCACUAUUUUUGCAUCAGUAGUGGUUUUAAGUUAUGUUGUUUCUCUUAUGCAUUAUAUAUUAUGCAUAAUAUAUAUGUGGUUGAUUUGAUACUCCUAAAUCUCAGCAAAAUAAGCAUGUUAUUGUUGGUAAAAUUGCUAAAUAUUAUACAAAAUGGUUGUUUGUGAUGUUUGUGGGUAUUUUUGUUUCAACAUUGCUUCGCAUUACUUUUGUUGCAAAAAGAUUCAUUUGUGUUUGAAUUAGUGUGUACACAAGUAGCUUUUUUUUUUCUUUUUUUUUUUUAAUCAUUCCUGUGGUUUCGCAAUUUUUCACUUUAGUGUUCUUUGGUUUAAAGUAUAUCAAUUUAGUAUUCUAUAGUUUUAUUUUUUUCUUUUCGUCAACCCAUCCGUUAACUUUUCGCUAAAUCAUAUAUAAAAAAUUUUAGAUAUUCUACUUAUAGUUUAUCGAAUAUUUAUUUUAAUAACUUUUAGUUUUAACUUUGUCGUUGAUUUAACGAAAAAUAAUUAGUGGAGGGAAUAAUAAAAAAAAUAAAAUAAAAUUACAGUGUACGAAAGUGAUACGCUUUAAAUUACGGGAGGCUAAAGUGAGAAAGUGUGAAACCAUAGGGGUGGUAUUUGAAGUUUUUUUUUUUAUUUUUU
This 3471-nucleotide long non-coding RNA is filed under the name Ananas comosus (pineapple). RNAcentral describes it as "long non-coding RNA (ACOM_LNC044610)". Lineage: Eukaryota; Viridiplantae; Streptophyta; Magnoliopsida; Poales; Bromeliaceae. The record is from RNAcentral.